Long non-coding RNA from Biomphalaria glabrata, 467 nucleotides. RefSeq lists it as uncharacterized. The record is from RefSeq and is a predicted model, not a curated record. The transcript is spliced from 6 exons. NCBI's taxonomy places the organism in Eukaryota, Metazoa, Mollusca, Gastropoda, Planorbidae.
AGAUAAUUUUGAUGUAUAGGACAAUAGGCUAAAUCAAUUCUGAUGUAAAUCAAAAGGAAGUCUGUCGUAGUUGAGGUUAUAAAUAGUGAGUGUUUUAUUGAGAAAGGGCACACAAAAGACGAGCACCUAACAGAAAGGCGAGUUGUUUUUUUAGGUUUGAAAUCAAAAGAACAAAACUGAAAUGAAAACUUUGGUUUUGACGACCACACUUUUUAUCCUUCUCUCCUGUAUGAUACAACCAAUGCAGGGAAGAGGAUACCCAAGAUGCCAAAUGGAUUACCAAUCCUGUGGUCGUAGACCUUGCUGCGAAAAUUUGAAAUGCACUCCGGUUACAGAAGAAGAUGGGGGAAGGACUUACACCACUAGCAAGUGUAUACCAUAAGAGGAAGCGAAAACAAUGGUGAAAUCCAAAAAGAUUUAAAAGAAGUUAAUUAUGAGCCGAAAUAAAAGAUUGUUAUUUCCCCUUU